RNAcentral lists this ribosomal RNA (495 nucleotides) under uncultured bacterium. RNAcentral's name for it is "partial 16S ribosomal RNA". It matches the Rfam family "Bacterial small subunit ribosomal RNA", at positions 28 to 507 of the family's 1533-position model. The record is from RNAcentral.
GACGAACGCUGGCGGCGUGCCUAAUACAUGCAAGUAGAACGCUGAAGGUGGAGCUUGCUUCUCUGGAUGAGUUGCGAACGGGUGAGUAACGCGUAGGUAACCUGCCUGGUAGCGGGGGAUAACUAUUGGAAACGAUAGCUAAUACCGCAUAAUAGCAGUUGUUGCAUGACAACUGUUUGAAAGGUGCAAUUGCACCACUACCAGAUGGACCUGCGUUGUAUUAGCUAGUUGGUGGGGUAACGGCUCACCAAGGCGACGAUACAUAGCCGACCUGAGAGGGGGAUCGGCCACACUGGGACUGAGACACGGCCCAGACUCCUACGGGAGGCAGCAGUAGGGAAUCUUCGGCAAUGGACGGAAGUCUGACCGAGCAACGCCGCGUGAGUGAAGAAGGUUUUCGGAUCGUAAAGCUCUGUUGUAAGAGAAGAACGAGUGUGAGAGUGGAAAGUUCACACUGUGACGGUAUCUUACCAGAAAGGGACGGCUAACUACGUG